GGGUGCGAUCAUACCAGCCCUAGUGCACUAGAUCCCAAUAAGAACUCCGCAGUUAAACUGCUUGGACGAGAAUAAUACUAAAUUGGAUGAUCACUUGGGAAGUUCUCGUGUUGCACCCC
This 119-nucleotide ribosomal RNA is filed under the name Cucumis sativus (cucumber). Lineage: Eukaryota; Viridiplantae; Streptophyta; Magnoliopsida; Cucurbitales; Cucurbitaceae. The record is from RNAcentral.